RNAcentral lists this ribosomal RNA (1902 nucleotides) under Triticum aestivum (bread wheat). RNAcentral describes it as "partial small subunit ribosomal RNA". Lineage: Eukaryota; Viridiplantae; Streptophyta; Magnoliopsida; Poales; Poaceae. The record is from RNAcentral.
AUGUGUACUGGGAUGGACCUUAAUAUGACAAAUCUUUGGCUUCAUGGGAAGGAACAUAUAGCCGCUUCAUUCUCUCAAGCUGAACAGAGCUCAGAAGCAGUUGAGACUUCUAGAAAAUCAUUUGGGCAGAGGAGUCGAAGUUCCCCUGUUCCUGAUGAUGACUGCAGGCUGGUCCUAGGACUAGGACCAAUGCCAAAUCUGUAUUCUGCUGAUAGUCAAUCAUCCGGUGGGAACAAAGUUAAAUUAUCUGGAAUUUUGUUCACCCAACAUUGUACUGCAAGUGAUCCUGGGUUACAGGUGGACACUUCAAGAGGCAGCUCAAGAAAUUUACAGUCCACAACAGUGCCUGGCCGCAAGGAGCAUUCACAUAAAAGAAAAAAUGGUAUUGUAUUCCCACAUAUUGGCGAGGGAUCAACUUCAGCCAAAAGGAAGCCAGGUGAUUAUGAGCUGUCACCUCUGUUUGCUCCAAGAUCAGAUGGUCUUUUUAUUGAUAGAACAACGGCAGAGCCUGAUGUCCAGCAACACCUUGGAACCGGAUAUGAGGCCGAUCAUGAUUUAUCUCUUGAGCAGCACGAGGUUGAGCUUAGCCCCGAGCCUUCAGCAACAACUGGUUGUUCUUUUGCCGCAACUUCAGAUACAGUAGAUAGUACUGAUAAUGGGGAGCAGAAAAGUCAUCAGCGCCAUCUCAAGAAGUGCAGGUUCAAUGGGUGUUCCAAGGGCGGAAGGGGUGCCUCAGGGCUCUGUAUUUCCCAUGGCGGCGGUCACCGGUGCCAAAAGCCAGGUUGCAAUAAAGGGGCCGAGAGCCGAACUGCGUACUGCAAAUCUCACGGAGGAGGAAAGCGGUGCCAGGAGCUAGGCUGCACCAAAAGCGCCGAAGGGAAGACAGAGUUCUGCAUCGCUCAUGGCGGUGGGCACCGGUGCAGGGUUCAGGAGUGCUCCAAAGCAGCGCGGGGAAGAUCAGGAUUUUGCAUAAAGCACGGUGGAGGGAAGAGGUGCAUGAUGGAGGGCUGCACCAGGAGCGCCGAGGGAUAUCCCGGGGUGUGCAUCGCACAUGGAGGUGGUCGCCGGUGUCAGUACCCGGACUGCAGCAAGGGAGCACAGGGAGGCACCCUGUUCUGCAAGUCCCAUGGUGGAGGCAAACGGUGCAUAUCCGAAGGUUGCACCAAAGGGGCCGAGGGCAGCACGUUGCUAUGCAAAGGCCAUGGCGGCGGGAAGAGGUGCCUCUUCGAGGGAGACGCGGCAUGUCCUAAGAGUGUCCACGGCGGAACCAGCUUCUGCGUGGUGCACGGAGGGGGCAAGCGCUGCGCCGCACCAGGGUGCACCAAGAGUGCUCGUGGUCGCACCGAUUGCUGCGUGAGGCAUGGCGGCGGCAAGCGCUGCAAAUCCGAUGGGUGCGGCAAGAGCGCGCAGGGGAGCACGGACUUCUGCAAGGCGCACGGCGGGGGCAAGCGGUGCGCCUGGGGCGCCGCCGGCUGUGAGAAGUUUGCCAGGGGGAGGAGCGGUCUGUGCUCUGCUCAUGGAAACCUGACGGCCUCGAAGCAGGGCCUAAGCAUGACCGGGCCUGGCCUCUUCAGCGGGAUCGUCGUCGAGGGCAGCGGCGGCAUGGACCAUGUCAUCUCUUCUUCUCUCCCCGGCGCCUCCUCAGACUGCUGCGGCGAGUCGUCGGGAGAACACAUGCAGAGUGGCAGGCUCAUACCGCCACAGCUGCUGGUUCCUGGCUCCCUGCAGAAACCAUCGUCUUCGUUUAACCUGUCGGGCAAUGGCCACGAAGAAGAAGCUGGUGUUAGCCGGGACCAGAGCUUCGGGUUCGUCGUGCCGGAAGGAAGGGUGCACGGUGGAGGCCUCAUGUCGAUGCUCCGAGCAGGACACCUGGGAAGCAACAUCAACAACCCGGAAUCCUGA